RNAcentral lists this unclassified non-coding RNA (262 nucleotides) under Hevea brasiliensis (rubber tree). Lineage: Eukaryota; Viridiplantae; Streptophyta; Magnoliopsida; Malpighiales; Euphorbiaceae. The record is from RNAcentral.
GAAAAUCGCGACCCGAGUCCGGCAACUCUUGUUGUGUCAUCUUCUAUCUCUCUUCUUUUUCCUCUCCGUACGGGAAUAGUCUAGGUGUCGAAAUAUCGUCGCCUCUUCGUCCUUGGUUUCUAAUCCAAUGGCCAGCCUUUCAAUACCGUUGAGAAUGGUACCAAUUUCAGCUAUUAGCAACCUUAACUCCAAGGAAUUCGAAUUAAUCCAGUUUUCCCUCUCAAAACAAGCCCGUUUCCCCCCUUAUCUCAGCACCAAUUUC